GUUUCAUAUAAAAGACAUCCUCUUUUUCCCCUAAAACCAGUUCCCUCAAUCUUCCCUAAAACCCUCCAGCAGAACCCACUUCCCUCCAGAGAAAUCAAGUUUUUUCCGGCGAUUUUGGGCAAGAAACCACCGUCGUGACCGGCCGCUGGUAAGUUCCAUCCUCUUUAUCUUCUUUUUUGUUCAUUUAGGGUUUAAUUUUAUCUUUAUUUACAUGUUUCCGGCGAUUACCGGUGGUUUUCGAUCAUCUGGAGUGUUCAGUUCGAAGGUUCAUUGUUUCACUUCUUCAAGCUGAUUUCAGGUUUGCUCUGUUUCUCCAAUUUAAUCUUUUCUUCAUUUACACCAUGCUUGGAUUUGAUUGUAAAGUAGACACGAAGCUUCCUUCUAGAUGUAUAUGUGAUUUAUAGUCCUUGUUUGUUUAUUAGUAGAAUUUUAGAUAGGGUUUUUUCAUCUAUGCCCUAGGUGAGUUUUUGGGGUCAUUGUGUGAUGAACACUAUCAAUCAGAUAUUGUAGGCGAUUGACUAAUGAAUAGACCUGGAAAACGGGUCGGGUCGGGUCAUGGGUCAAACGGGUCCAGCGGGUUUAGCCUUGAGUAAACCCAUAAAUAAAUUUGAAGUGAACAUAUGUAACAUUGUAAGUCCGUGUUCCAUCGGGUUUAGCCGUUGAGUUUAGUAUUAGAAUUAUAAGAUCGUGAGUUCAAGUCUGGUUCAUGUCUUUUUUUUUGUUAAUAGUUCAACUCCAUUGUGAUUUAUGAAUAAAAGUGUUCUAACAUUAAAUUUUGAUUUGGGAAUAAAAGUGUUUGUUAAAUAAACCCAGUUUCAGUGCAUUAGGAACAAGAGUCCAACUAUUGAAUUGGAUUAUUAAUAUAUCAAAACUACUUAAUGAAAAUUAGUUUCACAAGAUUUAAUGUUGAUGUCAAGUUUGGAAUGUCAUUUAACUUCAUUUUGAGAAACUGAGGUUAAUAGACCUCUAAUUAGGCAGCUUGUGUUCUUGGUUUAAAAAAGUGCGCCUUAAGCGCGCUUAAAAGCAAAGCGACUCUAGGCCCAAAGAGUUGCGCCUUGUGUGACAUAAAGCGAGCUAUGUACAAAAAGCGCACAAAAAGCGAGCUUUUUUGGAAAAAAAAAAUCCCACUGAGGCGCGCGCUUUUUGUACAAAAGGUGUUUUUGUGAUUUAAAGUGUUAUACAUGCAGCUAAAAUGGUUGUACAUUAUAUGAUUUAGACAUUAAAUCAUAUGUAAACCUUAUUUGUCACUAUAUUUUGGGCAAGGGAUGCUAAAAGACUAUAGGAUAUAUAUAAAAAAUAUAUAAGCACCUUGUGCCUCACGUACGAAAAGCUGACCGCUUUUGCGAUUUACGCUUCACGCUUUAAUUUUAGAACUUGUCGCUUUUGUGCGCUUCACGCUUUUUUAAACCAAGCUUGUGUUGUAGUUGAGGUCCUUGCAAAUCAUGACUAAAAAUCUAUUAAUGUGGUAUACAGACAAUUAUUACCAAGUCGUUAGUCCAAAAUGAUUUAAGUUGGCUAGAACCUAUUUCAAGUUUAUAAAAGUGUUUUAGUUUGAACAUUGAAGGCACUUGUUACUAGGAUUUUGGUGCCAGAUCCAAACCAUUCACUUCCACUAGCUAAAUAGGUCAAGUGGUCAACAUGAUUUACAUAAUCCAAAACGAUUAUAACCUUUAAACCACAUAGCUUUGUCCCCCAACAAAAUUUGCCCAUGUUUAACACUUUGAACAUGAACGAUUUUCUCCUUUAAAAUGUCAUUAAGAAGUUUCUGUUGUAAUAUGCGUAAAUUAGUGAGUUCGCUAUGAUGGUACAAGUUUUUAUGGCCGCUUAAUCGCUUAAUCGACUUAUAAACACAUUAAACUGCAAGACUGAUUAGUGAGUUCGCUAUGAUGGCACGAGUUUUUAUGGCCGCUAUGACUUUUAUGGCCGCUUAAUCGUUUGCCGGCUGCAAAUAUGCUGCAGACCGGCUGCGAACAUGCUGCAGUCUGGCUGCAAAUACUCUGCAGACCCAUAAAAAGGUACUGCUAGUAAUCUUU
This 2033-nucleotide long non-coding RNA is filed under the name Helianthus annuus (common sunflower). Its description in RNAcentral is "hypothetical non coding rna". Lineage: Eukaryota; Viridiplantae; Streptophyta; Magnoliopsida; Asterales; Asteraceae. The record is from RNAcentral.